Long non-coding RNA from Mirounga angustirostris (Northern elephant seal), 1021 nucleotides. RefSeq lists it as uncharacterized. NCBI's taxonomy places the organism in Eukaryota, Metazoa, Chordata, Mammalia, Carnivora, Phocidae. The transcript is spliced from 3 exons. The record is from RefSeq and is a predicted model, not a curated record.
CGCGCCCCCCGCGCCUCGGCCGGAGGCGGCCGCAAAUUCCGGUGACCCCCGGCCCGCCCGGCCGGAGCCUCACCUCCUCCUCGCUCUCACUGCGGAAACACAGGCACGCGGCCCGCUUCUUGUAGCCGUCGCCGUCAUAGGAAACUUAACCAAAGGAUCCCACCCUUUCCUGGAAGACAAUGGUUGCAGUCAGGUGUUGGCUGGGCCUGCUGUCAUCUGAAGACUUGACGGAGCUGCAGGAUCCACUUCCAGUGUGGCUUCUCACAUGGCUGGCAGUUGGAAGGAGGCUCAGUGCCUUUUGGUGUGAACUUCUCCAUGGGGCCACCUGAGCCUCCUCACAACAUGGUUGGGUUCCUCCAAGAGCAAAUGAUACAAGAUUCCAAGACUGAAUGAACUGCAGUGCCUUUUAUGACCUGGCUUUGAAAGUCAUACUUUGUUAGUUCCACAGCUUCCUACUGAUCAUAUAAGUCAGCCUUAGUGUGGGAGAUUACACAUUAUACCAGAAGGCAAGGAUCACUGGGGCCAUAGUUGAAGCUGCCUAGCACACCUCUCAUAAAAUUUACCUGGGGGCACCUGGGUGGCUCAGUUGUUAAGCAUCUGCCUUCGGCUCAGGUCGUGAUCCCAGGGUCCUGGGAUUGAGCCCCGCAUCGGGCUCCCUGCUCCGCGAGAAGCCUGCUUCUCCCUCUCCCACUCCCCCUGCUUGUGUUCCCUCUCUGGCUGUGUCUCUCUCUCUCAAAUAAAUAAAUAAAAUCUUUUUUUUAAAAAUUAAUUAAAUAAAAUUUACCUGGCCUCUAGUUCAUUCAUCCAUUGCCCAUGUAUCCCAGGCAGCGUACCUAACAGAGGGGAAGGAGAUAAUUCUUAAGAAUAGGCUACCCUUCCAUAGAUGAUAGUGGGUGGUUACAGAUUUAAAUCAAAUAAUCUCUUCUUUAAAAUAUUUUAUUUUUAAGCAAUCUCUACACUCAACGUGGGGCUUGAACCCACAACCCUGAGAUCAAGCAUCACAUGCUGCACCAGCCAGGCA